This 508-nucleotide ribosomal RNA is filed under the name uncultured bacterium. RNAcentral's name for it is "partial 16S ribosomal RNA". It matches the Rfam family "Bacterial small subunit ribosomal RNA", at positions 28 to 507 of the family's 1533-position model. The record is from RNAcentral.
GACGAACGCUGGCGGCGUGCUUAACACAUGCAAGUCGAACGGGCCUUGUCCCCUUUUUUUUUGGGGGUGGGGUUAGUGGCGAACGGGUGAGUAACACGUGAGUAACCUGCCCCUCACUUCUGGAUAACCGCUUGAAAGGGUGGCUAAUACGGGGUGUUCUGGCCUGCUCGCAUGGGUGGGUUUGGAAAGAUUCGACCGGUUUUGGUUGUUUUGUUGGGGGAUUGGCUCGCGGCCUAUCAGCUUGUUGGUGGGGUGAUGGCCUGCCAAGGCUUUGACGGGUAGCCGGCCUGAGAGGGUGGGCGGUCACACUGGGACUGAGACACGGCCCAGACUCCUACGGGAGGCAGCAGUGGGGAAUAUUGCACAAUGGGCGCAAGCCUGAUGCAGCGACGCCGCGUGAGGGAUGGAGGCCUUCGGGUUGUGAACCUCUUUCGCCAGUGAAGAAGGUCCUGCUCUUUGUGGUGGGGUUGACGGUAGCUGGGUUAAUGAAGCGCCGGCUAACUACGUG